GCCCCGCCCCCUCAGCGGCUCCCGCCCGCCCUGGACUGGGGGUUCCGGGCCGUCAAAGUCCAGGGAUGGCCCUGCCCCUCGGCACUCUGGUUGGAGCCCGCCCAGCACCAAGCAGCGAGAUGACACUCACUGGCUCUGCUUGUUCGUGGUGUGUUCCCUCUGCACUCCCGUGAUCUCACCCGGCUGUGACCUGUCACCUGGCCCGAUCCCCUGGUGGCUCUGCCUCCUGCCCCCUCCUCUGCCCGGGCGCCCACACCCACGUGACAGGUCGUGUCGCUGGCUCUCUGUCCGUAUGAAGACAGGAUUGUAGCUUCAUAGGAAGACCGCUGACGUCAUGCUGAGGAUGGAGCGUCUGCGUUUUUUGCCUUCUGCUGGCUCCUCCCUCGUCUGCAUCUCGAAGCGCUGUCCCAGGAGAGGGGUCAGUGUGCUGAGCUCAGGGGCCGCCGCCUGCCUUCCCACUAGUCUCACUGGGGCGCGGUCACCUCACGAGCGGCUGGGGCCCACUGAGCCGAAAAUACUUGCGUCUGGUCCUUCGGAAAAGGACCCACCUUCAAUAGCUGGUUUUCUGAAGCUGCUGACAGCAGAAUCCACCAACGAAGUUCAAACCCAGAAAAUCUGAGGCUUUCCUGAGCUUGGAUUCUGACUGGGAUCAGGGGAUGGUGGGCAGUGGGCGGUGGGGUCUCUACUGGCUCCGGUGGUCCCCGCAAUGCUCUGGUUCCUCCUGAGGGGACCCCUUGGCUGUUGGAAGACAGUGACUGCCCUGGCUCAGGGGGCUGCCUGCGCCCCCACCUGUAACUCUCCCCUGAGACCCCGUCUUUGACCCACCUUUGUGCAUCUGCCCCUGGGACCACGCUGCUCCUACGAGAAGCUGGCUUUGCCCUCACGGGACUUGUUUAAAUUACAGUCAUGACUGUAUGCCCUAACUCAUUUAUAUAGUCGACCACUCCCUGAGUCACAAGGAAGAGUGUUCAAAGCCUUUUCUCCCGUAAGUGGCAGUUUAAUCAGACAUUGUCAGGACAUCUGGGGAUGAGGAUAAAUAAUUUAUUUGCUUUUUUCUUACAUAGAAAAAGGGCGCAUCCCAAGGAAGCAAAAAGUAUUUGAGAAAAUGAACACGUUUUUCUUUGGCCAGGAGAUGCUUCUAUUUACAUCAUGCCUCGACACAAAGCAGAGAGCCUGCCUGGCAAGUGACCCCCAGCCGCCCACGCCGGCACUCAGGAAGGCCCAGGACGCAGGCUCGGCGCUCGAGGCCCUCGGGGGCACUGGAGUGGACAUGGUAAACCCGAGACACGGCAGUGGUAACUGCCGUGGAGGAGACACCACGGGGAUGCGGGGCAGGGAUGGGGCCCCGUGAGGGGUGGCUGUGGCUUGGGGGCGGGGGCUCCUGGCCCUCCCCGCCCUGGGUGCCGGCCCGUCCUCCCUGGACACAGACCUGACGGCCCAUCCUCCCUGGACACACACCUGAUGGCCCGUCCACCCUGGGUGCCGGCCCAUCCACCCUGGACAGACCUGAUGGCUCCCCAGCAGAAAGACCCUCGUCCGCUGUGGGGAGAGACGUGUUUCUGGAAACAGACGUUGCGGGCAUCAGUGUGAUGAGAGAGGCUCCCGGAUGGCCGGGAGGGCCAUGCACUGGAGACAGAGGGGCGGCCGGAGGCCUCCAGUGUCCAGGGCGGGUGGCCCCUGCCCCAUGGGAGGAGGGCAUGGCCCGCCCUGCCGGCCAGAGGAGGCUGAAGCUCAUGGCUCGGGGAUAAGCCGGCUCCCGGCGCUGCCCUGGGUGAGGAGGGCUUGCGGGCUCGCUCACAGAGGUGCGUGGGGACAGGACUUGGGGCUGGGCCCUCCUGGUCUCCCCCGGGCAUCAGAGCGGCAGGCACGGUUGGACCUGAGCCUCUCUCUGAACUGCUGUCCCCCACGUGUCCUGCCCCAGGCCUCCCCCUCACCUUCCAGUCCUGUCUGCCUGGCCAGCCUGCACCUCGAAGGCAGACCCGGAUCUCAAACAUAAUGUGCCCCCGAAGGGUAUCUCGAUGCUCCUCCCCACCCUGCCCCCCGCCCCAAUCCUAAUUCCCCUCCAAUCUUUCUCAGCCGGGGAACAGCAAAUUAUUCAUUGAAUGGCCAAGUAUUGAGCUUGGAGUAUUUUUUGAUUCUUCUUUCUUUUUCCCUCCUCCCAGAUCAUCCACCUGCAAGCACUGUUGAUUCUCUUAACACACACCCGGGUCUACUCGCCGUCCUCUGUUUGCAGGGCCGCCUUCCUGCAGCCCCAGCCCCUCCCUGGGCGCUGGAAGGGCCUCUUUUCCUCCGCUCUUGCCCAGGGUGACUCAGCCACACGCACGUCGUCAGGAGCGCUCAUCAUUCAGUGAGGGGACCGCAAGGCCCAGGAAGGCCUCUCCUGCGACACAGAGAGAGACACAGGCUUCAGGGAUUCCAGAGGAUGGAUGAACAGAAGGAAACAAGAGCAGAGCAGAUGGGAAUAAUGGGAGCAUCGUUGUCGGAGCUGAAGGGAGGCUCACGGAGCCCUGCGGGGUCCCAGCCGGACCCUGAACCCGUAGAGUACAAGAGACAGACAGAGAGAGAGAGACAGAGACACACAGAGAGACACAGACACAGAGAGACACAGAGACACAGAGAGAGAGAGAGAGAGAGAAACACAGAGA
This is a long non-coding RNA of Bubalus bubalis (water buffalo), 2645 nucleotides long. RefSeq lists it as uncharacterized. Lineage: Eukaryota; Metazoa; Chordata; Mammalia; Artiodactyla; Bovidae. The transcript has 3 exons. The record is from RefSeq and is a predicted model, not a curated record.